RNAcentral lists this ribosomal RNA (425 nucleotides) under uncultured bacterium. RNAcentral's name for it is "bacterial LSU rRNA". It matches the Rfam family "Bacterial large subunit ribosomal RNA", at positions 1969 to 2393 of the family's 2925-position model. The record is from RNAcentral.
UUGUCGGGUAAGUUCCGACCCGCACGAAUGGUGUAACGACUUGAGCGCUGUCUCAACAGGGAGCCGGUGAAAUUGAAGUAUGGGUGAAGAUGCCCAUUACCCGCGACUGGACGGAAAGACCCCGUAGAGCUUGACUGUAGCCUGAUAUUGGAUUUUGGUAACGGAUGCACAGGAUAGGUGGGAGGGCAGGGAAGCGAGAACUCCGGUUUUCGUGGAGCCACUGUUGGGAUACCACUCUUCUGUUACUGAAACUCUAACAUAACGCCGUAAGCCGGCGGAUGGACAGUGUCAGGUGGGCAGUUUGACUGGGGCGGUCGCCUCCGAAAGAGUAACGGAGGCGCCCAAAGGUACCCUCAGAAUGGAUGGAAACCAUUCAAAGAGUGUAAAGGCAAAAGGGUGCCUGACUGCGAGAGUGACAAUUCGAG